This 164-nucleotide ribosomal RNA is filed under the name uncultured bacterium. Its description in RNAcentral is "partial 16S ribosomal RNA". It matches the Rfam family "Bacterial small subunit ribosomal RNA", at positions 355 to 511 of the family's 1533-position model. The record is from RNAcentral.
UAGGGAAUCUUCCACAAUGGACGAAAGUCUGAUGGAGCAACGCCGCGUGAGUGAGGAAGGGUUUCGGCUCGUAAAACUCUGUUGUUAAAGAAGAACAUAUCUGAGAGUAACUGUUCAGGUAUUGACGGUAUUUAACCAGAAAGCCACGGCUAACUACGUACCAG